This 468-nucleotide ribosomal RNA is filed under the name uncultured bacterium. RNAcentral's name for it is "partial 16S ribosomal RNA". It matches the Rfam family "Bacterial small subunit ribosomal RNA", at positions 28 to 507 of the family's 1533-position model. The record is from RNAcentral.
GACGAACGCUGGCGGCGUGCUUAACACAUGCAAGUCGAACGGAAAGGCCCUGCUUUUGUGGUGUUCUCGAGUGCCGAACGCGUGAGUAACACGUGAGUAACCUGCCCUUGACUUUGGGAUAACUUCACGAAACUGGGGCUAAUACCGGAUAGGAGCUCCUGCUCCAUGGUGGGGGUUGGAAAGUUUCGGCGGUUGGGGAUGGACUCGCGGCUUAUCAGCUUGUUGGUGGGGUAGUGGUUUACCCAGGCUUUGACGGGUAGGCGGCCUGAGAGGGUGACCGGCGACCAUGGGCCUGAGGUACGGCGCAGACUGCUACGGGAGGCAGCAGGGGGGAAUAUUGCACAAUGGGAGGAAGUGUGAUGCAGCAACGUCGCGUGCGGGAUGACGGCCUUCGGGGUGUAAACCGCUUUCGCCUGUGACGAAGCGUGAGUGACGGUAAUGGGUAAAGAAGCACCGGCUAACUACGUG